GGGCCUGGAGCCAGGAGGGUCGCACCUCCAGGGGUCGGUCUGCCUGGCAGGGGCAGGAGCGUGGAGACAGAAUCGGGGCAGGAACGACUGGAAGCGAGCAGCUGGGCAAGGAAGGAGCAGGAGAGCUUGGUCAGGCCGGGGUUCCAGCAGCUGAGCGAAAGGAACGGAAAGACCGAUUCCUUAAUUGGCCGCCAGGGAAUAAACGGCAGGUAGGCCUAGCUCGGUCCAGUCUUUCCAGCCCCACGCCGCCCCUCUCCGCUGGGAGCCGCACAGAGAGAGGCAGAGGGCUCCCUGUCGUUUUCUGAGAAGAGACUUAAAACCACGGCAGGAGGCAGAGGACAUAAUGUGAGCAGCUGGAGAAAACGGUCAGAUUCCUGCUCCCUGCGACCUUCCUUCUCCAGACGACCCUGCCAUUCCCUCUGGCUUCCCCCGCCGAACCCUGCCCUGCAAGCCGACAGGAGAGACGGGACCAGAAGGAGGAGGAAGCGGCAGCAAGUCAAUGACACCACAGACUCACUGAUCGUGCAGGCGACUUCACUUUGCCGGGGCAGAAAGGACACGACCCGAACCAGCCUGUUGAAAACACUACAGCUCAAGAGCCAAGUGCCACUGGUGAAUGCAGGCACUGAGGGCCCACACUGCAUCCAGGGAGAACGCCACGGAUAAUGAGCUCCAGGAUAUGAUAGAGAUCAACAAAUGCAAGGCUUCGGGAAAUCCCAAUGCACUGUGCCCACUUCAGAGAUGUGACUACCCCUGUGUGGAACUGUCUUAUGUGUGCGCGUGCAUGUUUCUUUCCGGUCCCACCCCGGAGGAGCGCCACCGUUCUGGGGGCAGGAACCUGUAUGUCCUACGUUCCUAGCGUCUGGAGUGAAGCUUAAAACAAAUGUCAGUGAAAACCUGAACACAU
Molecule: long non-coding RNA, 907 nt
Organism: Phyllostomus hastatus (greater spear-nosed bat)
Lineage: Eukaryota; Metazoa; Chordata; Mammalia; Chiroptera; Phyllostomidae
Exons: 3
Source: RefSeq, a predicted model, not a curated record